CUCUUCCCCACCCUCACCCCGCGGCCUUGGCCGGGAUAAGUCGGGAGGAAGCGGGGAGGGGGAGGGGAGGUGAAAAAGUGCCGGCUCCGGCGGAGGGGUCCGGAGUCGCGGAGGAGUGAGGAGGCACGGGGAGCUCUGCGCGAGGGAGGGGGGUGAGCGGGAAAACGCGGCGCGGAGCCGGGAACAGCGCCCCCUCCCCCUCCCGUGGCGGGGGGGGGUCUCUGAGGGGGCGGCCGGCAGCCCGCCGCCUCACGGCUCCCCUCGCCGGGGCGAACGGCAAAGUUCCGGGAAACUUUCCCCGGGUUUAGGGUGAGGGUCUGGGGUCGUGCUUAAAUACCCCCCACCACCACCACCCUCGACGCGGUGUCUUCCUGGCAGCAUUGGGCUGCCAUCUACAAAGUGCUGAUGAUCCCCCAUGAACUGCUGAGUCAUCAAAGAACAUAUGUCUUUCACAGGACCAGGCCCGCCUUUUAGAGGUCCCCGAUGGCGAGGCGAUUUUAUGAAAUACUCCAGAAGAAAGUCACGAAGGUGAAAUUGCGGCGACCCAGCCGUGACUGCGGAUGGUCCCCCCGUCCCCCCCACCCCGGCCAUCCCGCCCCUCUUCCACGACCCCGGACCGAAGCCGCCGAUAAGGUCGGUGAAGCCCGGUGGCGGGGGGCUCGCACCCCGGGCCGGGCCGGGCCGGGCCGGCAGCCGUUCGUCGGGGGCUCCUCCGGUCAGCCCCCGCCGGUCCUGGGAUAUUUUCAGAGCUCAGCCUGUCGGGCAACCGGGCGCCUUUGAAAAUCUGGCGCUAGAUGUCUUCGGCACCUGGAGAUCGCGCACAUGACUCCGUAAUUGUGCACCCUGCGGAGUAGCAUUGUGUUUAGCCACACGUUAAAACAGCCGCUUCAGAGCGAGUUCCGAUGGCUGGGGUGUGACUCCUCAUUACAAAGCGCAGAAUAACGCUUUUCAGCCAAUUGCCCUUCCCUGGUGGGUGUCCCCCCCCCUUCCAUUUUUGGUUGCUGUUUGAUUUUUCCCGACCCCGAAGCCGGCGGUUCCGUGCCGCAUCUGCCCUGCGCUCUCAGCUCAGGGCUGUUGAACUUCACUCCCCGAGCAGCCGCAGAGGUCGCUUCUGAGCAGCACGAAAAGGGUUGUUUUU
Harpia harpyja (harpy eagle) is the source of this 1138-nucleotide long non-coding RNA. RefSeq lists it as uncharacterized. NCBI's taxonomy places the organism in Eukaryota, Metazoa, Chordata, Aves, Accipitriformes, Accipitridae. The transcript has 3 exons. The record is from RefSeq and is a predicted model, not a curated record.